CACAAAUGCGCCUAGGGUUCCGCUUCAUUUGUAAGGGCUGGUCCGAGAGGUGCACACGGCGUCUGCCGUGACACGGAGGGAUAAAAGCCCGGGAGAC
Molecule: small RNA, 97 nt
Filed under: Shouchella clausii KSM-K16
Lineage: Bacteria; Bacillati; Bacillota; Bacilli; Caryophanales; Bacillaceae
Also listed under: 1 other name
Description: Bacillus clausii KSM-K16 Guanidine-I riboswitch aptamer
Rfam family: Guanidine-I riboswitch aptamer
About the family: This family represents a conserved RNA structure found upstream of the ykkC and yxkD genes in Bacillus subtilis and related genes in other bacteria. The function of this family is unclear although it has been suggested that it may function to switch on efflux pumps and detoxification systems in response to harmful environmental molecules.
Source: Rfam by way of RNAcentral